GUACACGCUGUGACUAGCAUAUCAAUAAGCGGAGGAAAAGAAACUAACAAGGAUUCCCCUAGUAACGGCGAGUGAAGCGGGAAGGGCUCAAAUUUGAAAUCUUAAAGGGUUUCCCUUUACGAAUUGUAGUUUAAAGAAGUGUUUUCUGUUGAGGUUUUGGUAAAAGUUCUUUGGAAUAGGACAUCAUAGAGGGUGAGAAUCCCGUAUUUGACCUUUACUUUCAACUUUGUGAUACACUUUCAAAGAGUCGGAUUGUUUGGGAAUGCAGUCCAAAAUGGGUGGUAAAUUUCAUCUAAAGCUAAAUAUUGGCGAGAGACCGAUAGCGAACAAGUACCGUGAGGGAAAGAUGUAAAGAACUUUGAAAAGAGAGUUAAACAGUACGUGAAAUUGUCAGAAGGGAAGCGUUUGACACCAGUGUUGUUUUUCGGAAAAUCAAUUAAAGAACUGUUUAUGCUAAGUUGUUUAGACUUUAUCAGCUAACUGUUUAGUUUUGAGCUUUUCUUUAAUGCACUUUUCAGUUAACAAGUCAACAUCAAUUUCUUUUGCUGUAAAAAAGCUUGAGGAAGGUGGCUUGAGAUUCGUCUUAAGUGUUUAUAGCCUCUUGCCUAUGCAGUCGGAGAGAUUGAGGUCUGCAGCGUAGAUCCUUCGGGGCUAAAUGCAUUUGUGCUAAGUUAUAGCAUUUUAUAGACAACUUGUUGACUAUGAUUUGUCUUGUAGCUUACUCGCUUAUGUUAUUUUACCUACGCUUAGGAUGUUGACACACGCGCGUGCUCG
RNAcentral lists this ribosomal RNA (774 nucleotides) under uncultured Neocallimastigales. Its description in RNAcentral is "partial large subunit ribosomal RNA". It matches the Rfam family "Eukaryotic large subunit ribosomal RNA", at positions 22 to 656 of the family's 3401-position model. Lineage: Eukaryota; Fungi; Neocallimastigomycota; Neocallimastigomycetes; Neocallimastigales. The record is from RNAcentral.